Molecule: small nuclear RNA, 325 nt
Filed under: Neogale vison (American mink)
Lineage: Eukaryota; Metazoa; Chordata; Mammalia; Carnivora; Mustelidae
Description: Neovison vison (American mink) 7SK RNA (ENSNVIG00000012666.1)
Rfam family: 7SK RNA
About the family: 7SK was discovered as an abundant small nuclear RNA in the mid-70s but a possible function has only recently been suggested. Two independent studies have found that 7SK RNA binds the CDK9/cyclin T complex (known as elongation factor P-TEFb).
Source: RNAcentral
AGGUUAUGAAGGCUAACUGGCAUCUAUCACCCAUUUGGUUGCCAAGGUUGAUUCAUCUGGUCUGGCUCUCUAGGCAGGUGUCCCCUUCCUCUCCUUCCUCUCUCAACACUCUACGUAUGUCCCUCCUGAAGCUGCAUGCUAGGUCAAAGAAGACAAUCUUCCCUGAUAGAGGAGAACUGUGGUUUAGUCAAAGGUAUACCAGUAGCUUCACUCCCCUGCUCGAACUUCCAAACAAGCUCUUUGUAGGAUAAUAUAGCAUAAUCAAGCUCCCAAAACCCUAGACACCGGCAAAUGAGGUGCUACGUGAGGUAGAUUGCUUUUCUUG